UACGUAGGGCGCAAGCGUUGUCCGGAAUUAUUGGGCGUAAAGAGCUCGUAGGUGGCGUGUCGCGUCUGCCGUGAAAGCCCAUGGCUUAACUGUGGGUCUGCGGUGGAUACGGGCAGGCUGGAGGCUGGUAGGGGCAAGCGGAAUUCCUGGUGUAGCGGUGAAAUGCGCAGAUAUCAGGAGGAACACCGGUGGCGAAGGCGGCGAUCUGGGAAGAUACUGACGCUGAGGUGCGAAAGCGUGGGGAGCAAACAGG
Molecule: ribosomal RNA, 253 nt
Filed under: uncultured bacterium
Lineage: Bacteria
Description: partial 16S ribosomal RNA
Rfam family: Bacterial small subunit ribosomal RNA
Source: RNAcentral